UACUGUGGUCCUGAAGCAUGCUGUUCCUGU
RNAcentral lists this non-coding RNA (30 nucleotides) under Homo sapiens (human). Lineage: Eukaryota; Metazoa; Chordata; Mammalia; Primates; Hominidae. The record is from RNAcentral.